RNAcentral lists this transfer RNA (124 nucleotides) under Granulicella mallensis. RNAcentral's name for it is "tRNA-OTHER". The record is from RNAcentral. Lineage: Bacteria; Pseudomonadati; Acidobacteriota; Terriglobia; Terriglobales; Acidobacteriaceae.
GUGGCUCAACUACUUAGGGUUACGCUCGGAUACGCCACAAUUCGCUUUAUUUUGUUAGACUUGCGGUAUUGCGGAGCAACUCAUAAUCCCUUGGUUGGGGGUUCAAAUCCCUCCGGGCCCACCA